Molecule: ribosomal RNA, 254 nt
Filed under: uncultured bacterium
Lineage: Bacteria
Description: partial 16S ribosomal RNA
Rfam family: Bacterial small subunit ribosomal RNA
Source: RNAcentral
UACGUAGGGUGCAAGCGUUUAAUCGGAAUUACUGGGCGUAAAGCGCGCGUAGGCGGCUUUGCAAGUCGGGUGUGAAAUCCCCAGGCUUAACCUGGGAACUGCAUUCGAGACUGCAUUGCUAGAGUAUGGGAGAGGGAAGUGGAAUUUCCGGUGUAGCGGUGAAAUGCGUAGAUAUCGGAAGGAACAUCAGUGGCGAAAGCGACUUCCUGGACCAAUACUGACGCUCAUGUGCGAAAGCGUGGGGAGCAAACAGG